AUGUGGGAGCGAAUCCCGGUGGGCCGUCCGGAGAAGAUGUGCUCGCGUGCAUGGACGAACUAUGGAGGAGAUGACGAAGAUGAUCGGAACCCGACCGUCGCAUACGCUUGGGACGUGGUGCGUGUCUACAUGGGCGAAUCAAAGGCCUUGUACAAGGUCUUCAGCAACGAGCUUGAUGCUCUCACGCCUUUACAGGUUACUUGGCGGUCGUAUAGUGAUGAUCGACAGUGGGGGUUCGAGCUGAACAGCAUGUGCAAGCAGGACCGGCUGCUCUUCCGGUGCAUCGUGCCCAUGAUUUGUGUCUAUGCCGUGAGUACCACUUGCCACAGCGCGUUGCCGCACAAUUUGGUAAGACGCAACACACACCGCCAGCCGGCAUCGUCCGCGAUACCGGUGGCUACGACCUACACCUGA
Molecule: ribosomal RNA, 414 nt
Filed under: Triticum aestivum (bread wheat)
Lineage: Eukaryota; Viridiplantae; Streptophyta; Magnoliopsida; Poales; Poaceae
Description: partial small subunit ribosomal RNA
Source: RNAcentral